This 215-nucleotide long non-coding RNA is filed under the name Elaeis guineensis (African oil palm). Its description in RNAcentral is "long non-coding RNA (EGUI_LNC081157)". Lineage: Eukaryota; Viridiplantae; Streptophyta; Magnoliopsida; Arecales; Arecaceae. The record is from RNAcentral.
UGUGUGUGUUUUAAGGAAAUUUUCCUAAAGCUCUUUCAUCUCCAUAUUUUGCUAUCACAAACUGGCAUAUGCAAGGCAUCAAAACUAGCAUGUAAGGUCCUGUGCAUAGGAGUAAAGGUAGUUCUUGCAGGCCUCGUUAUCAUCCCCAUUGGUACUACCUUCCCGGUCCCCGACCUCUUUUGAUCCCUGUUCUCUGUUUAAUGACAGGCAUCUGG